AAUUAUUGAAGUAGAGAAUGUGCUGCUACGCACCCUUUGAGUCAAAAGAAAUGUGGGAAGAGGCACAUCCGCCAAUAAUU
Dorea sp. 5-2 is the source of this 80-nucleotide non-coding RNA. Lineage: Bacteria; Bacillati; Bacillota; Clostridia; Lachnospirales; Lachnospiraceae. The record is from Rfam.